This 495-nucleotide ribosomal RNA is filed under the name uncultured bacterium. RNAcentral's name for it is "partial 16S ribosomal RNA". It matches the Rfam family "Bacterial small subunit ribosomal RNA", at positions 28 to 507 of the family's 1533-position model. The record is from RNAcentral.
GACGAACGCUGGCGGCGUGCCUAAUACAUGCAAGUAGAACGCUGAAGGAGGAGCUUGCUUCUCUGGAUGAGUUGCGAACGGGUGAGUAACGCGUAGGUAACCUGCCUGGUAGCGGGGGAUAACUAUUGGAAACGAUAGCUAAUACCGCAUAAGAGUAGAUGUCGCAUGACAUUUGCUUAAAAGGUGCAAUUGCAUCACUACCAGAUGGACCUGCGUUGUAUUAGCUAGUUGGUGAGGUAACGGCUCACCAAGGCAGCGAUACAUAGCCGACCUGAGAGGGUGAUCGGCCACACUGGGACUGAGACACGGCCCAGACUCCUACGGGAGGCAGCAGUAGGGAAUCUUCGGCAAUGGACGGAAGUCUGACCGAGCAACGCCGCGUGAGUGAAGAAGGGUUUCGGAUCGUAAAGCUCUGUUGUAAGAGAAGAACGAGUGUGAGAGUGGAAAGUUCACACUGUGACGGUAGCUUACCAGAAAGGGACGGCUAACUACGUG